AAUGAACGUUGGCGGCGUGGAUUAGGCAUGCAAGUCGAACGCUUCAUGUAGCAAUACAUGAGGAGUGGCGUAAGGGAGAGUAAUACAUAGUUAGCUGCCCUCGGGUCUGGGAUAGCGGCGGGAAACUGCCGGUAAUACCAGAUGAUAUCUUCGGAUCAAAGGUGUAAUUUCGCCCGAGGAGGUGACUGUGUCCUAUCAGCUUGUUGGCGGGGUAACGGCCCACCAAGGCUAAGACGGGUAUGGGGCGUGAGAGCGUGCCCCCAC
Molecule: ribosomal RNA, 264 nt
Filed under: uncultured bacterium
Lineage: Bacteria
Description: partial 16S ribosomal RNA
Rfam family: Bacterial small subunit ribosomal RNA
Source: RNAcentral